GUAAACGGCGGCCGUAACUAUAACGGUCCUAAGGUAGCGAAAUUCCUUGUCGGGUAAGUUCCGACCUGCACGAAUGGCGUAACGAUGGCCACACUGUCUCCUCCCGAGACUCAGCGAAGUUGAAGUGUUUGUGAUGAUGCAAUCUACCCGCGGCUAGACGGAAAGACCCCAUGAACCUUUACUGUAGCUUUGCAUUGGACUUUGAACCGAUCUGUGUAGGAUAGGUGGGAGGCUAUGAAACCGGAACGCUAGUUUCGGUGGAGCCGUCCUUGAAAUACCACCCUGGUUUGUUUGAGGUUCUAACCUUGGCCCGUGAUCCGGGUCGGGGACAGUGCAUGGUAGGCAGUUUGACUGGGGCGGUCUCCUCCCAAAGCGUAACGGAGGAGUACGAAGGUACGCUAGGUACGGUCGGAAAUCGUGCUGAUAGUGCAAUGGCAUAAGCGUGCUUAACUGCGAGACCGACAAGUCGAGCAGGUGCGAAAGCAGGUCAUAGUGAUCCGGUGGUUCUGUAUGGAAGGGCCAUCGCUCAACGGAUAAAAGGUACUCUGGGGAUAACAGGCUGAUACCGCCCAAGAGUUCAUAUCGACGGCGGUGUUUGGCACCUCGAUGUCGGCUCAUCUCAUCCUGGGGCUGUAGCCGGUCCCAAGGGUAUGGCUGUUCGCCAUUUAAAGAGGUACGUGAGCUGGGUUUAAAACGUCGUGAGACAGUUUGGUCCCUAUCUGCCGUGGGCGUUGGAUAUUUGAAGGGGGCUGCUCCUAGUACGAGAGGACCGGAGUGGACGAACCUCUGGUGUACCGGUUGUCACGCCAGUGGCAUCGCCGGGUAGCUAUGUUCGGAAGAGAUAACCGCUGAAAGCAUCUAAGCGGGAAACUCGCCUUAAGAUGAGAUAUCCCUGGGGACUAGAUCCCCUUGAAGGGUCGUUCGAGACCAGGACGUUGAUAGGUCAGGUGUGUAAGCGCAGUAAUGCGUUCAGCUAACUGAUACUAAUUGCCCGUAAGGCUUGAUCCUA
Molecule: ribosomal RNA, 1009 nt
Filed under: Burkholderia vietnamiensis
Lineage: Bacteria; Pseudomonadati; Pseudomonadota; Betaproteobacteria; Burkholderiales; Burkholderiaceae
Also listed under: 1 other name
Description: 23S rRNA. Bacterial LSU
Rfam family: Bacterial large subunit ribosomal RNA
Source: RNAcentral